Non-coding RNA from Rhodocollybia butyracea, 95 nucleotides. Lineage: Eukaryota; Fungi; Basidiomycota; Agaricomycetes; Agaricales; Omphalotaceae. The record is from the annotation of a GenBank genome assembly.
GGUGAGAUGGCCGAGCGGUCUAAGGCGCUAGAAUCAGGUCUUGUAUCUGAACUAUCUAGUCAUUCGUGGCGUGGGUUCGAAUCCCACUCUCAUCA